This is a non-coding RNA of Acanthosepion pharaonis, 112 nucleotides long. The record is from the annotation of a GenBank genome assembly. Lineage: Eukaryota; Metazoa; Mollusca; Cephalopoda; Sepiida; Sepiidae.
UUCGGCCAUAUAACGUUAAAACAUAGGCUCCCGUACGUUUACCGAAGUUAAACAAGGUCGAACCUGAUCAGUAGUUAGAUGGGUGAUCGCUUGGGAAUACACCAGGUGCAGC